Long non-coding RNA from Oncorhynchus tshawytscha (Chinook salmon), 1259 nucleotides. The record is from Ensembl. NCBI's taxonomy places the organism in Eukaryota, Metazoa, Chordata, Actinopteri, Salmoniformes, Salmonidae.
AAGACGAGCACCAGACGAGGAGAGAGAGGAAGACGAGCACCAGACGAGGAGAGAGAGGAAGACGAGCACCAGGCGAGGAGAGAGAGGUCGAGCUGUAAACAACAGCUACAAAAAUGAAGAAUAAGAGGUUGAAAAGCCACUAAAACUCUACUUCCUGUGAUGAGUUUCACUUGAGAAGGAAGAGCGAGAGAGAGAGAGCAUCACAGCUACUGUAGGACAUCUUGUCUGCCAUUUCAACCCUAACAGCCACAUGACACCCCUGAUGGGAUCCUUAUAUUAAUGAACUAAGAUAUAAAGUAAGGAGAAGAUCAAAUCUACUGCUAGACUUUGACUGGGGUUGACCAGACCCAUAUAGGACUUUUAAUGUUUGAGAAUAUUCACUGUUAAUGGACAGAACGCUUAUCGCUUCACAGAACAAAAUAACAUUACUAAAAAAAUGGGUUUUGUUGCUUUUGGGUUUAGUUAUUUUGUUAUGUUUUUUUUUCUUUAUUUCUCUUUUGUUUCUAGUUUUAAAGGGUGGGAGAUGUGGUCCAGACUAACACAGAAAGUUCAAACUGGUCGAAACUGAAUUGAACAGGUUUAACACUGACCCUGGAAUGCACUGGUCUGACCCUGGAUUGAAUUGGUCUGAAGCAGUACUUCCUAUUAAAGAAAACAGAUGCUGUUGGCUUAAACUCAUAUCGAGUAAAUUAUAUAUUUUUUGGUUUCAUAUUAUUUUGUUUUGAUUUAAUUUCUUACGUUUGAUUUAUUUUAUUUCAGUUAAUUUAUUUUUUAUAUAUAUUUCUUUUAAUUAGCCCAUUGGGGGGGUGAAUAUGAUUUCUGUAAAUACUGUUUUGUUUCCUAGUCUCUGUGUCAAUGAUUGACAAGCAGGAAUAGAUCACAGUCCUCACUCCUAUCACCACACAGACCAUCACUUUUCAUUUAUGAAUGAAUUCCUGUGUAAUAAUAGCGAUGGCAAUGAUGAUGACUGUGAUGAUGAAGAUUAAGAAAUGUUUCGCUAACGCCAUCAAACGAUGACAUCUACCAGAUAUCCACAAGACAAGUCUGAUUUUUGUUUAUUUGGUGAUUGUUUUGUCAAAUAUGUACAUUUAGUCUUGGUUUCAGGAUACAGGCCUCACAGAGAGGGAGUUUGAUAGACUUCAGGCUACGACGGACAGGCCUCACAGAGAGGGAGUUUGAUAGGCUACGAGGGACAGGCCUCACAGAGAAGGAGUUUGAUAGACUUCAGGCUACGACGGACAGGCCUCACAGAGAGGGAG